UGUGCGAUAGGUGGAGCGUUACCGACUAGAUAUAGUCAACCUUACCUUCAUGCAAAGCUUGGGCUCUGGAACCCAACUCCUUGAGGGGGGCUGGACUCUCCAAUUCUCUGGCGUUAGCCGCGGGGAACGGCGGCAGGCUGGUGUAGAUCUGCUCAUUGCACCACAGUUCAGCUGCCGUGUGUUGGAGUUCACCCCUGUGAAUGAGAGGGUUGCGUCCCUGUGCCUUCGGGACAGGGACAGGUCUCUGUCGUGUUGGCCUAUUUGCUGAACAGCAGUGCAGAGUACCUGGCCUUAUUGGAGUCCCUACUGGGGAAAUAGACAGUGCACCGACCGGGGACUCUGUUGUUGUACUUCAGUGCUGACGUGGGCAAUGACAGUGACACCUGGAGAGGAAGGAACGGCCUCCCUGAUCUGAACCCAAGUGGUGUUCUGUUAUUGGACUUCUGUGUUAAUCACAGUUUGUCCAUAACGAGCUCAAGGGUGACAAUCUGUGCACGUGGCACCAGGACACACUCGGCCAGAGGUCGAUGAUCGACUUUGUCGUCGUGUCAUCUGACCUCCAGCAGCGUGUCUUAGACACUUGGGUGAAGAGAGGGACUGAGCUAUCAACCGAUCACUAUCUAGUGGUGAGUUGGGUCGCAAAGACCUGGCAGGCCCAAGAGUAUAGUGAGAGUCUGUUGGAAAUGUCUUGCAGAGCUCGUUGUCAGUGUCCUUGAACUCACACCUCCGGGAGAGCUUCUCCCAGAUUCUGGGGGAAGCUGGGGAAUGGGCUAUGUUCUCAGCCUCCAUUGUCAAUGUCAAUGUAGUGAUGUCAUUAUCCAGAGAAACAGGAGGACUAAAACCACACAAAGAUGGAGGAUAGCCUUAUUUUCACCGCGAAGCGCUUCCCGGAGCUUUAUGCUGUUUUUUUGGCGGAGUAUAAAGAUCGGGAUAAUAAAAGACCUUGCCUGGAAGAGGAUUAGGAGAUGGGGGUAUCUGGUAAGUUUUCACAACUUUAGAGCUAUAAAAUAUUUGCCCGCUAGGCUAGCCGUUGCACCCAGCAUAAUGAAGUUACUGCUAGUUUUUAGCUGAUGAGUUUAUGUAUUUAUUCAGUGGAUAUAUGUAAGAAAUGAUGGAAGAGCCUGAGGAAUGUGUACAUGAAGGAGAGGAGAAAGGAGAGAGAAAAGAGAAGUGGGUCAGCAGCAGGGACAGCCAAAAAGUGGCGGUUCUCUGGGGUACUGUCAUUCCUCAAUCUCUUCAUUUCCCCUUGUGAUAUGAGCAGGAAUAUGCAGCAGGUCGAGGAAGAGCAGACCUCAGGGGACCUCAAAGAGCCAGAAGAAGCAGCAACAGGGCUAUCAGAUUCAGAAGAUUUUGUUGAGUGCAAAUACUAUGAUGACGUAUGCAAAAAUAGAUAUUAAUUCAUGGCCUCAAAUUACAAUUUCAUUCCUACAGUAUGUAAUUCAUUUCCACGCUUUAGCUAAAUCGUUGUCACGUUUUACUAAAAUCAUUCCCGCGAAUUAAGAAAUUGCCACCAAAUAAACAAAACAGGGCGUGGUGUUGGGUUGAUUUGGUAAGCGCUUCUUGCUUGGCUGGACCUCAGACUUCAGACCUCUGCAGACACUAAUAAAGGUACGAUAUAUCAUUUAUAAGACAUCUUUUUUAUUUUUUUACCGAUUUUUGACAACAUGUAUUGUUACCUAUUCAAAUGUAUGCUUAUGUAAAUGUGGGCCAAUAUAAAAUCCAGGAUCAUGUAGCAGCGUGGCAUAGUGUGCAUGCUAUAGCUAAAUAAAAAUACUAGUGAGCCAAUGCUGCUUUCUUAUAGAGGAAAUAUUACGGAGUAAAGUGACGGUAAAAUUGUCCUAGUUGUUGUUUACCCUGUGUGUUCACGCAGCAAUGGAUGAUCCACCGCCUGCUUUUUUGAGGGAGCGUAACACAGAGGAGGGAGUCAUCCAGAGACUGAAGGAUGAAAAUAUCAUCUAAGACUGGAUCUCCUCUUCAGUGAGUCUGGACAUGGACAGUGGAGACAUGGACAGUGUACUUGGACCACUCGGUCUGAAUCUCAUCUUCUGGAGGAGGAAGAGCAGAAUGGGCAUGAUUGAUUCAAAGUUCUGUCCUGCAGAGUGAAAACCUAUUCAGAUCCAGACCAUGACCUGGCAAAGUACAUCCUCAAAGUUGCUGACAGAAUAUCCAUCGUCCCUUUUCUGCAGAAAAUAGGCAGCACCUCAAGUGGCAUCUUCAAGAAAAGAAACUAUACUUCAAGGCUUCAUCAAAAACUCAUCUCAAGAUGAUGCAGGACCCUCUUCUUCCUUCUCCUCUUCGUCCGCACAUGAAAGAAAAAGUCGACAAAGUGGGUGAUGGGUGCCAUGCUGUGACCUGCAGUGUGGACAAAGUAGAGGAGCACAAGGACCUAGAGCUGGACUGGGACAAUAUAGGACUGUGAAUGUCAGAGGAAGGGCCAGAGCUGCAUCUAUUGUGUGAGGAUCAAUCAGCCGUAUAGAACUGAAACACACAGGGCCUGUGUUACCUCCCGAGGCCUGCAGUUGUAAUUUGUUUUGUGUGUUUAAAAAUAUGUUUUGGCUGUCCUGGAUCCUGCUGUGGGAGCCCUGGUGGUGGUGAUUGGUGGAGCACUUUUACACCUGGCUAAUCGUGCCUCACCUCCAGCCUCCUCCCCCUAUUUAAGGAGAUUGCAGCACGUGUUCAGGGCUGCUGGUCUUGGUGGCCCGUUUGCCAUUUUGUGUUUGUGUGUGUCUAGUUUUGUUGUGUUUUGUGCCUUCUUUUAUUUGAUCACUUGAUUCUGUUUGUGGGUGGUUUGGUUUAGUUUUGUGUGUGUGUCCCUUAGUUUUACCACCCGUUUUGUGUAAGCCUGCGUAACCCCUUUUGUGGCACAAGACUCUGUUUUUUGUUUUAGUUAUUUUCAUUAGAUUAUUUUCUGUAUAUUUUAGUCUGUUUUGUUGAUUUACCUUUACA
Long non-coding RNA from Boleophthalmus pectinirostris (great blue-spotted mudskipper), 2946 nucleotides. RefSeq lists it as uncharacterized. Lineage: Eukaryota; Metazoa; Chordata; Actinopteri; Gobiiformes; Gobiidae. The record is from RefSeq and is a predicted model, not a curated record. The transcript has 4 exons.